AACCUCGGGAAACUGAGGCUAAUAUCGGAUAGAAGAUGGAUACUGGAAUGUUCUAUCUUUGAAAGGCAACGCCUUAGGAUGGGGCUCGCUGAUUAGGUUGUUGGCGGGGUAACUGCCCACCAAGCCGAUGAUCAGUAAGGGCUCUUAGCGGAGAAGCCCUGAGAGGGAGUCUGAGACACUACUCCCAGCCCUACGGGGUGCAGCAGCUAGGAAUUUUUUGCAAUACGCGAAAGCGUGACAGAGCGAGCCAAAGUGCUUUUCCGUAUAGGAAAAGCUUUUGUGAAAUGUAAAAAGUUUCACGAAUAAGGACUGGGAGAGACUGGUGCCAGCCGCCGCGGAAAUACCAGCAGUCCAAGUCGCAGCCACUUUUAUUGGGUCUAAAACAUCCGUAGCUUGCUUAGUAAGUCUCUUGUUAAAUCUGGCCUCUUAAGGGUCGGGCUGCGAGAGAUACUGCUUUGCUAGAGACCGGGAGACGUAAUGAGUACGUAUGGGGAAGCGGUUAAAUGCAUUGAUCCUAUAUGGACUAAUAACAGCGAAGCACGUUACGAGAACGGAUCUGACAGUGAGGGAUGAAGGCUAGGGGCGCAAAACGGAUUAGAUACCCGUGUAGUCCUAGCAGUAAACACUGCACACUAAACAUUGGACCUCCUCGAGAGGUUUCAGUGCUGUAGCGAAGCGAAGAGUGUGCUACCUGGAAGUAUAGUCGCAAGCCGAAACUUAAA
RNAcentral lists this ribosomal RNA (722 nucleotides) under uncultured archaeon. RNAcentral describes it as "bacterial SSU rRNA". It matches the Rfam family "Archaeal small subunit ribosomal RNA", at positions 128 to 860 of the family's 1478-position model. The record is from RNAcentral.